RNAcentral lists this long non-coding RNA (1621 nucleotides) under Rhagoletis pomonella (apple maggot). RNAcentral's name for it is "uncharacterized LOC118750338, transcript variant X1". The record is from RNAcentral. Lineage: Eukaryota; Metazoa; Arthropoda; Insecta; Diptera; Tephritidae.
UUCCAUGCGAAAAAACUUAUCUCCACACGCGAGGUAUGUGGUUGCGGCUUUAGGCGGAGACUUUCAAUUGACAUUUUGAUAUGCCUUUGCGCACCACACUUUUUUCCAUUUCCUGAAUGGCAAAAAAUGUCAUUCUGAAAAUUCUAACACGAGGCCGUAGUAAGAGGUUCCUGCAAAUGCGGAAAUGACUCAUUAUGAGAGUCAAAUAAUGAGCAGUCUGGGCUGCACUUAUUUUUGCUAUUGGAUAAAAUACCCAUAAGCCGCCCAACGGAGCCACACCAGCCGCUGGAUUGAGCACCCAGUGAGCCAUAUGCGCCACUGGCUAAAGCAACCAUUGGGUUACAAUGGCCACUGGCCUGCUAUUUCAUUUCAUGUGUAUUUUUGUUUUUCGAGCCCUUAUUGAGAGCUGCACAGUAUAAAAACCAUUAAAGGGUUGCGAAGAAAAAAAAAACUGGCGUACAACGGACAAGUUAUUUAAAAUGACGAUGGGUGGAGGUCCUUUGGAUGAACAUUAGCCUCCGUUAUAAGUACACCUUUUUUGACAUACUCUGGAGCUUCCAGCCUCACUGGUGACGGUUUUCGACGUGUAAACCAGACCCGAUUUUUUCUCUUAAGUACAUUAUCGAUGUAUUUUACACAUUCAACAAAAAUCAAUACGUAUUCGAAGGUAGUGACAUCCUCGUCUCGCAUUAAAGAAGCUAUGUGGGCCAUGGAAUAUGGUGUUUGCCACGGUCUUUUUUUGCAAGGAGAUUAACAAAGAUUCUGCUGAGACAUCUUAAUGUAUACCGGUGUCGGCAACUGAUCGACCGGAUUACAUGCAAAAAACACGCGGGGUUAAGCGCAAGCAUUCAUAUCUAACUCAUUCCAUUUUACCCAAGAAUUAGAGCUCAAAUUGCUAACAAACGCCGAGUGAUGAUUCGUCUCGGCCACUUCAUUUGCCAUUUGGGCCUGGCAGCGAGGUCAUUGCGCAUGAAAUUAUGCGGAUGAUUGCGUCUCGGACCCAGAAUUGUUUAUAGGGUAUUAUGGUUAAGAUCGGCGAACUAAAACCAAUGUGGAGUAUAACCAUCAAAUUAAUCAAUAUGCCUGUUUAUGUAGCAAAUACAUAAAUUGUACUAAUAAAUUAAAAACUUGUUGGUGUUCAUGUAACCCAAAGGACUUGCAAAGUUUGGGAGUUGAGAGGGAAACUUGGAGAAGAAGUUGUAAAUAUUUUACGGGACAAAUUUUAGCUUGCAACAAUUCGCUAAUACGAAGCACAGCUAAUCAUAUGUUGCAAGGGACAAUUGAAAAAAUAUUGGGGAAUUUACAUGAGGCGAUUUCACAGGCAACUUUUAGUUGAAUCAAAAGGUUGAACGAUAGUUGGCAGCUGACCCACUUCAUUGGCAGUGAUUAGUUGAAAGGUCAUUUACACCAGGGAACUGUUGCAUUCAACCAAUCGCCUGUGAAAGUAGAAUCAUGUUAAUUCCCUAAAACAAGAAAACUGUUUUAUUAGGAAUUUGCUACGAAUAAUCAAAAAUUUAUCAGCUGAUCAUAAAAAUUCCAGAUUGUUAUUGGUGUUGCGUUCACGUACUUUUUGAUAUUUGUCCUUUUGCGCGAAUAACCAGAAAUGAAGUAACAGAGAAGU